Molecule: ribosomal RNA, 590 nt
Filed under: Pseudidiomarina aestuarii
Lineage: Bacteria; Pseudomonadati; Pseudomonadota; Gammaproteobacteria; Alteromonadales; Idiomarinaceae
Description: bacterial LSU rRNA
Rfam family: Bacterial large subunit ribosomal RNA
Source: RNAcentral
ACCCCGAGGAAAAGAAAUCAACCGAGAUUCCCUAAGUAGCGGCGAGCGAACGGGGACCAGCCCUUAAGCUGGACAACUGGUAGGAGAAGGCCCUGGAAAGAGCCGCCAUAGUGGGUGAUAGCCCCGUAUCCGAAACCUGAGUCCAGUGAAAUCGAGUAGGUCGGCGCACGAGAAACGUUGACUGAACAUGGGGGGACCAUCCUCCAAGGCUAAAUACUCCUGACUGACCGAUAGUGAACCAGUACCGUGAGGGAAAGGCGAAAAGAACCCCUGUGAGGGGAGUGAAAUAGACCCUGAAACCGUAUGCGUACAAGCAGUCGGAGCAGACUUGUUCUGUGACGGCGUACCUUUUGUAUAAUGGGUCAGCGACUUAUGUUCAGUGGCGAGGUUAACCGUUUAGGGGAGCCGUAGGGAAACCGAGUCUGAAUAGGGCGAAUCAGUCGCUGGGCAUAGACCCGAAACCGGGCGAUCUAUCCAUGAGCAGGUUGAAGGUGCCGUAACAGGCACUGGAGGACCGAACCCACUGUCGUUGAAAAGCCAGGGGAUGACUUGUGGAUCGGAGUGAAAGGCUAAUCAAGCCCCGGGAUGUC